CACGAAACCAUGUGAGCUAAAUAAGCGGGAUGUUAGUCUAAGUGUGUAACAAAACAUUUUGUAAAGUUUGUUUAGGGGUGAUAGGCUUAUCAAAUAUGGUGAUAUCUUGAUUUCACUUAAAAGUUAAGUACAUUUACAGAUCAGGAAUGAUAAGGUUUCUGAUAAUUAUAAAUUUAAGAUAACGUAUUUCAUUGAUUUAACUAUUUGUGAACCAUUAAAAGAAUAUAUCAAUUUAAUAAUUAUAAUUUAAAAAGUGAAAGUAAUACAAUAAAAUAAUUAUUUAUAAUGUUAAUAUUAGUAAUUAAAUAGUUAUAAUUAGUGAACUCGGCAAUAUGACUUUCAACUGUUUAUCAAAAACAUAGCUCAUUGUAGUAUAAUGGGUGAGUUCUGCUCAAUGAGACAUUAAAUAGCCGCAGUACCUUGACUGUGCAAAGGUAGCAUAAUCAAUUGGCUUCUAAUUAAAGUCCUGUAUGAAUGAAUUUAUGAAGGUCAACUAUACAGUUAUAUAUGUUGAACUUACUAAGUAAGUGCAAAUUCUUAUGGUGAAAUAAUAGACGAGAAGACCCUAGAAAUUUUAACAAACGUUUUUGUUGGGGCAACAUAGUAACAGUGAAUUUACUUUAUGUAUAUGAAAUAAAAUUGAUAAAUUAAAUUACUCUAGGGAUAACAGCAUAAUCUAAGAAGGUUUGUGACCUCGAUGUUGGAUUAGGGAAUCGUAGUUUAG
RNAcentral lists this ribosomal RNA (724 nucleotides) under Micromelon nepouieanum. Its description in RNAcentral is "partial 16S ribosomal RNA". The stretch from base 302 to 541 matches the Rfam family "Archaeal large subunit ribosomal RNA", at positions 1786 to 2143 of the family's 2987-position model. Lineage: Eukaryota; Metazoa; Mollusca; Gastropoda; Stylommatophora; Camaenidae. The record is from RNAcentral.